GACGAAUGCUGGCGGCGUGCUUAACACAUGCAAGUCGAACGGACAGGCCCUGCUUGCAGUGUACUCGAGUGGCCAACGGGUGAGUAACACGCAGGUGAUCUGCCCUGCACUUCGGGAUAAGCCUGGGCAACUGGCUCUAAUACCUGCUAGGUGCCAUUUUUAGUCUGAUGGUUGGAAAGUUUUUUCGGUGUAGGAUGAGCUCGCGGCCUAUCAGCUUGUUGGUGGGGUAAUGGCCUACGAAGGCGGCGUCGGGUAGCCGGCCUGAGAGGGUGGACGGCCACAUUGGGACUGAGAUACGGACCAGAAUCCAACGGGAGGCAGCAGUCGAGAAUAUUGCACAAUGGGCGCAAGCCUGAGGCAGCGACGCCGCGUGGGGGAUGACGGCCUUCGGGUUGUAAACUACUUUCGCUAGAGACGAAGCUUUUGUGACGGUACCUAGAUAAGAAGCACCGGCUAACUACGUG
Molecule: ribosomal RNA, 464 nt
Filed under: uncultured bacterium
Lineage: Bacteria
Description: partial 16S ribosomal RNA
Rfam family: Bacterial small subunit ribosomal RNA
Source: RNAcentral